UACGUAGGGGGCAAGCGUUGUCCGGAUUUACUGGGUGUAAAGGGCGCGCAGGCGGGUUGACAAGUCAGAGGUGAAAUCCUACAGCUUAACUGUAGAACUGCCUUUGAGACUGUCAAUCUUGAGUACGGAAGAGAGAGAUGGAAUUCCAGGUGUAGUGGUGAAAUACGUAGAUAUCUGGAAGAACACCAGUGGCGAAGGCGGUCUCUUGGUCCAUUACUGACGCUAAGGCGCGAAAGCGUGGGGAGCAAACAGG
This 253-nucleotide ribosomal RNA is filed under the name uncultured bacterium. RNAcentral describes it as "partial 16S ribosomal RNA". It matches the Rfam family "Bacterial small subunit ribosomal RNA", at positions 524 to 776 of the family's 1533-position model. RNAcentral also lists the same sequence under 1 other name. The record is from RNAcentral.